GCCCCCGUAGCCCAAAGGCAGAGGCAAGCGUCUUAAACACGCUCCAGUGCGGGUUCGAGUCCCGCCGGGGGUA
Molecule: transfer RNA, 73 nt
Filed under: Actinomycetota bacterium
Lineage: Bacteria; Bacillati; Actinomycetota
Description: tRNA-Leu
Rfam family: tRNA
About the family: Transfer RNA (tRNA) molecules are approximately 80 nucleotides in length. Their secondary structure includes four short double-helical elements and three loops (D, anti-codon, and T loops).
Source: RNAcentral